RNAcentral lists this long non-coding RNA (469 nucleotides) under Gallus gallus (chicken). Lineage: Eukaryota; Metazoa; Chordata; Aves; Galliformes; Phasianidae. The record is from RNAcentral.
GCUGACUUCUGCUGGCAUUGUGUUUACUCAGCUCUUCACAUCCUCGCGCAAGCAAAACUGAAAACCUGCUUAAGAAUUCAAUUGAAGUAUCAGAUAAAAUGAAAUAUACUGACCUACAGAGCCUUCUUCCGAACUUGAUUUAUGAAUGGAGAGCUUUCUUUCAGUGUCAGGUGUUGAUGCGGUGCUGCUGAGACCAAGUGACUCCUCAAUCUGGGAUCGCAGUUGUAGAGAUGUGGGACUGGCAUCAGGUUUCUCCACAUCAAGGUCCUGGGAAACCCUCCGUUUGCGCAGCUCUUCCAUCCUCUCACACACAUCCGUGAAGCAGGUGUUGUAAUAAUCUGCAUACUGCUGUGCGAGGUCAUCAAUGUUUCCCAGAGACCCAUCCAGAAUGCCCAUCACGUCGGCCCACAGCUGCGCGAACGCCUCCGACGGGCCGCUCUCCGACGGGCCGCCCGGGCCCCGCUCCCCC